This 497-nucleotide ribosomal RNA is filed under the name uncultured bacterium. RNAcentral's name for it is "partial 16S ribosomal RNA". It matches the Rfam family "Bacterial small subunit ribosomal RNA", at positions 28 to 507 of the family's 1533-position model. The record is from RNAcentral.
GAUGAACGCUGGCGGCGUGCCUAAUACAUGCAAGUCGAGCGAACGGACGAGAAGCUUGCUUCUCUGAUGUUAGCGGCGGACGGGUGAGUAACACGUGGAUAACCUACCUAUAAGACUGGGAUAACUUCGGGAAACCGGAGCUAAUACCGGAUAAUAUUUUGAACCGCAUGGUUCAAAAGUGAAAGACGGUCUUGCUGUCACUUAUAGAUGGAUCCGCGCUGCAUUAGCUAGUUGGUAAGGUAACGGCUUACCAAGGCAACGAUGCAUAGCCGACCUGAGAGGGUGAUCGGCCACCCUGGAACUGAGACACGGUCCAGGCUCCUACGGGAGGCAGCAGUAGGGAAUCUUCCGCAAUGGGCGAAAGCCUGACGGAGCAACGCCGCGUGAGUGAUGAAGGUCUUCGGAUCGUAAAACUCUGUUAUUAGGGAAGAACAUAUGUGUAAGUAACUGUGCACAUCUUGACGGUACCUAAUCAGAAAGCCACGGCUAACUACGUG